UGAAGUCGAGCGAAAAGCCCUUCGGGGUGAGUAAGCGGCGAACGGGUGAGUAAUACACAGGUACCUGCCCCUCAGUGAGGAAUACCCUCGAGAAAUCGAGGUUAAUACUGCAUACGUCCCUACGGGGAGAAAGGCGGCUUUUAUGCUGUCGCUGAAGGAUGGGCUUGUGGGCUAUCAGCUAGUUGGUGGGGUAAAGGCUCACCAAGGCUAUGACGGCUAGCCGGCCUGAGAGGGUGUACGGCCACACUGGAACUGAGACACGGUCCAGACUCCUACGGGAGGCAGCAGUGGGGAAUAUUGCGCAAUGGGCGAAAGCCUGACGCAGCGACGCCGCGUGGAGGAUGACGGUUUUCGGAUUGUAAACUCCUGUUAAGUGGGAAGAAAAGCCUGUUUUUAAUACGAUCAGGUUAUGACGGUACCACUAGAGAAAGCACCGGCUAACUUCGUGCCAGCAGCCGCGGUAAUACGAGGGGUGCAAGCGUUAUUCGGAAUAAUUGGGCGUAAAGGGUGCGUAGACGGUCUGUUAAGUCUGUUGUUAAAUUCUCCGGCUCAACCGGGGGGCUGCAAUGGAAACUGGCGGACUAGAGGGUGAGAGAGAGAAGUGGAAUUCCCGGAGUAGCGGUAAAAUGCGUAGAUCUCGGGAGGAACACCGAUGGCGAAGGCAGCUUCUUGGCUCAUUCCUGACGUUGAUGCACGAAAGCGUGGGGAGCAAACAGGAUUAGAUACCCUGGUAGUCCACGCUGUAAACGAUAAUCACUAGACGUUAGUCUGGCUUAGCUAGAUUAGUGUCGAAGCUAACGCGUUAAGUGAUCGCCUGGGGAGUACGGUCGCAAGAUUAAAACUCAAAGGAAUUGACGGGGUCCGCACAAGCGGUGGAACAUGUG
RNAcentral lists this ribosomal RNA (884 nucleotides) under uncultured bacterium. RNAcentral describes it as "bacterial SSU rRNA". It matches the Rfam family "Bacterial small subunit ribosomal RNA", at positions 56 to 943 of the family's 1533-position model. The record is from RNAcentral.